GACGAACGCUGGCGGCGUGCUUAACACAUGCAAGUCGAACGGAAAGGCCCCUUUGGGGGUACUCGAGUGGCGAACGGGUGAGUAACACGUGAGUAACCUGCCCUUGACUUCGGGAUAACUUCAGGAAACUGGGGCUAAUACCGGAUAGGAAUCCUUGCUGCAUGGUGGGGGUUGGAAAGCUUCGGCGGUUUUGGAUGGACUCGCGGCUUAUCAGCUUGUUGGUGGGGUAGUGGCUUACCAAGGCUUUGACGGGUAGCCGGCCUGAGAGGGCGACCGGCCACAUUGGGACUGAGAUACGGCCCAGACUCCUACGGGAGGCAGCAGGGGGGAAUAUUGCACAAUGGGCGGAAGCCUGAUGCAGCAACGCCGCGGGCGGGAGGACGGCCUUCGGGUUGUAAACCGCGUUCAGCAGGGGCGAAGCUUGUGGUGACGGUACCUGCAGAAGAAGCACCGGCUAACUACGUG
This 465-nucleotide ribosomal RNA is filed under the name uncultured bacterium. Its description in RNAcentral is "partial 16S ribosomal RNA". It matches the Rfam family "Bacterial small subunit ribosomal RNA", at positions 28 to 507 of the family's 1533-position model. The record is from RNAcentral.